AUGGUAACUAUGGAACUGGAAACCACUUCUACCACUAAUCAUCCAUCUGCUGAAGAGGCAAUAACAGGAUUUAAUCAUGAGGUUGUUAACCAAGAGCACUUUGUUAAAUAUCCUCUAUGGAACAAGGAAGCACUCCUUUUUAAAAAAUAAGACUUGACAAGCAAACCUUCCAUUGCUCUCUACAAUUGAUACUAUUGAAGACUUUUUUUUUCUCUCUACCACUAUAUCCAAUUGUUGAAUAAUUUAAUGCCUUUCUGUGACUACUCACUUUUUUAGGACUGUAUUGAGCCUAUUGAGCCUAUGUGGAAAGAUGAAAGAAACAAAUGAGGAGAAUGAUGGUUAAUUACAUUGAACAAACAGCAAAAAUGAAAUGACCUUGAUUACUUUUUGCUGGAGAUACUGCUGUGCCUUUUAGGAGAAUCUUUUGAUGAGUACAUGAUGAUGUAUAUGGGGCUAUUGUUAAUAUGGGAGAUAAGGGUGAUAAGAUAGUUAUAUGGACUACUGAAUGUGAUAACAGCAAUGCGAUAACACCCAUUGACAGGGUAUAAAAGGAAAGACCAGGACUUCCUCUGAAGGUAGUGAUUGGUUAUCAGUCCCACACAGACACAACUAUGAAGAGUGGAUCCACCACUAAAAAUCAGUUUGUUGUUUAA
Molecule: long non-coding RNA, 653 nt
Filed under: Mus musculus (house mouse)
Lineage: Eukaryota; Metazoa; Chordata; Mammalia; Rodentia; Muridae
Description: long non-coding RNA chr4:74663682-74664335
Source: RNAcentral